AGAGUUUGAUCAUGGCUCAGAACGAACGCUGGCGGCAGGCCUAACACAUGCAAGUCGCACGAACCUUCGGGUUAGUGGCGCACGGGUGAGUAACGCGUGGGAAUUUACCCAAGAGUGGGGAAUAACCUCUGGAAACGGAGGCUAAUACCGCAUACGCCCUCCUUUGGAGACAUUGGGGGGGAAAGCUACGGCGCUCCUGGAUGAGCCCGCGUUGGAUUAGCUUGUUGGUGAGGUAACGGCUUACCAAGGCUACGAUACAUAGCUGGUCUGAGAGGACGAUCAGCCACACUGGAACUGAGACACGGUCCAGACUCCUACGGGAGGCAGCAGUGGGGAAUAUUGGACAAUGGGGGCAACCCUGAUCCAGCCAUGCCGCGUGAGUGAAGAAGGCCCUAGGGUUGUAAAGCUCUUUCAGUCGUGAAGAUGAUGACGGUAGCGACAGAAGAAGCCCCGGCUAACUCCGUGCCAGCAGCCGCGGUAAUACGGAGGGGGCUAGCGUUGUUCGGAAUUACUGGGCGUAAAGCGCGCGUAGGCGGACUAGUCAGUCAGAGGUGAAAGCCCUGGGCUCAACCCGGGGAAUUGCCUUUGAUACUGCUAGUC
This 600-nucleotide ribosomal RNA is filed under the name uncultured Alphaproteobacteria bacterium. RNAcentral's name for it is "bacterial SSU rRNA". It matches the Rfam family "Bacterial small subunit ribosomal RNA", at positions 8 to 641 of the family's 1533-position model. The record is from RNAcentral. Lineage: Bacteria; Pseudomonadati; Pseudomonadota; Alphaproteobacteria.